Quercus robur (English oak) is the source of this 2430-nucleotide long non-coding RNA. RefSeq lists it as uncharacterized. The record is from RefSeq and is a predicted model, not a curated record. The transcript is spliced from 2 exons. Lineage: Eukaryota; Viridiplantae; Streptophyta; Magnoliopsida; Fagales; Fagaceae.
AACUCACAAAAACUCACCUUUUUGUGAGACCCACAUGCUAACCACUGUACAGUGCACACGGUUAGGUUACCCGCGGAUUGAACAAAAUUGUUUAGGCCAAGCACUUUCCUCUUUCACUAUGCAGAGCAAACUCAUUUCCCCUUUCACUUUCCCCUCUCAAACACCUCAAACCCAUUCACACCAUUGCUCUCAAACCUCGUUUCCGCUGACCACUGUUAACCUGAGUGAUAGCAUCGUCGCCCAACUACGCCGCCGCUAUGGGACCCACGUCUGUCACCUCCAUUCGUUGUCCCUGACAACGAACCCAUGUGAGGUGGAACCCAGCGAAAUUACCAUGCUACACCUCGGUGGAACCCAGUGAACCGACCUUCUGAAGGCUGAUCGGCAGUGGUUACAACUCCACGUCUGCUCAGCAUAUGUGCGAAAUGGACCAUUGUGUGCUUAGGACGUCUUUAUCCCUCCAUAAUUUCGGAAGGAGGAUGGAUGUCAACACUGGUCGCCAGUCUGUAUCAAAAUUAUUUGCUCGUCCAUGUUGUUUGUAUGUGAACUUCUUAAUCUAUCUAAUUUCUCUGUCAACUAUAUGGUAUGAAUUUUGUUGCAGGACUCUGAUCAGGCUUGUAAGUGUUAGGAUUAGUGUCUUUUAAAUCCUAUUGUUUGAUGCUAUAUGUAAUAUUAAGUAUGACAUUAUGUAUGAUUUAAUAUUAUGAUUAAUAAAUUUGUUUUAUUAUUAUCUAAAAUAAUGGUAACAUGAAUAUUCAGACAUUAUCAUAUAGUCCAUGAGAUGCAUAGUAUGUGAUUUAGUUACAGAAGAUAUAAGUCAUAAGUUCUUUGUAAACUCAGAAUUUUAAUUCAUAGUAGGUGAUGAAAUUGGGCAUUUCAUCUGCGAAGACUAUAACAUAUCAACUACGAUGAUUUGUCUUGAUCAUGGAAUUGGAGACUUCUAGUUAAUAUGUUGAUAUGUUUUAAGAGUUAAGACAUAUUGAACUAGACCACUGUAAGAUUUAUUAUUCUUGUAACGAUUGUCAAUUGAAUAAUAAAUCUCAUGACUUAUAUUAACAUGAACUCUUAAUCCUGAGAGAAUAAUGGAUCUGAUCAUGAAAUGUAGGUUGCUUUGAUAUAUCAGAAGUGAGAUCUAAAGUAACGGUCAAAACCUCAGUAUGUUGGGCAGCCACAUAUAGUGUUGAUAGAACAUAUAUUCUCAAGAUGAAAUUCAUAGUCUCUUAACGGAGAUAUAAAAUAUUCUCUUGAGAUAAGUUUAAUGGGUUUAGUUAUUCAGAGAGUUAGGUCUAACCACUUUAGUAAGAAAUUACUAAAGUAUAUAUUUAUGAAAUUGGAUUUCAUAAAUAUAUGGUGAAUAACUUAAAAAGAUUAAACCGGGUACUCAAGGAUUAAAAUGUAGUAAUCUACAAAGUGGUAGUCUACAUUUAUGACUUUGUAUUACUACGAAUAUUUUAUGAAGGGGUUGCAUGUACAAUAAAGUCUUGUGAUAUAAUUUAUAAAUAAGGCCUAGAGUGCAACUAUAUUUAUAUAGUGGUAUUAAAUAUAGUUAAUGGUAACUUUGGACUUGUCAAGAGUUGACAGAAAAGUCCAAGGCCCAUUGAAGCUAGUGUCUUAUUAGUCCCUUUUGGUCUCACUUCAAGCCACAUACUAGAGCCCAAUCGAAAAGUCCCAAAAAGCUAGCCUAAUUAGAUAAUCAGUUAUAAGGAGAGAAACAUACAAAAUUUUGUAACUAACAACUUGCAUGAAAUGGUGUAUGUGAGUGAGUGUUGGACACUCUCUAAUUCUCUCUUGAACAAAUUCACAUUACUGAUUGAGAGACCACACAUCUUGGGCAUUAGUAGAAUUGGAGUGAAGAUUAAAAGUAUUCUCAAGUGCUUACAAUCUUUGUUUUGAAAUUCAUUACACCAAGGUACACUCUUUUGUUCUUGUAUUCUGAAAUUUACAUAGUGCAUGUUAUCAAUUGCGAAUAAAGUAGAUCUGUUAAUUUUCUGCUGCGUACAUGCAUAUUUCCAUCAGUAAGUUCUUUAGGUGGUUGGACAAGGACACAUGACCUCGAGGAUGUGCAACAGCUCCAAAUGUGUGGAAAAGGUGGUCAAGAUUGGCAGCCGAGGCAGAAGCUACCAAAAAUGAGAGGGACAAUGCACAACGAAUGGAAACAGAAGCAUUAGAAAGGGAACGCUUAGCCAAGCGCAGAGCUCUGAAGUAAAAAGUCGCAGUUCGAAGUGAUGAGGAGAAAGUGCACAAGUUUAGGAUUGCUUUGAUUACUACUUGGGUUAUGAUUGGGUUGUAUAUUUAUAUCAACAAACAUAUGUAAGCCUUAUUAUUUGUUGCUGGACAUGUUUUCUGUUGAUGCAACUUGCAAUGCUUCGUUUUGUUGUUGUGUUUGUUGGUACAUAUUCAGGUGUUUUGUAAGGACAGAACUUUUGCUCA